AGAGAAAGGAUAAGAAGAAGUAGGUAAGAGAGAGAGUGAGAGAUAUCAGAAAAGGGAAAAGAAAAGAAAGAGAAGGAAAGAGGAAGAAGAGGAGAAGAAGAAGACUCAUGGGAUAAGAAGAGGAAUCCAUGGAACCACCAUCAUCAUGUCAUCUUCUUCAUCAUCUUGUUCUCACCAUCUUCAUCUCCAAGGUAAUCCUUACAGGUUGAAUCUAUGAGAAGCUGUUAUGGAUGUUUCAAGGGAUGCUGUUUAUCAUGAUCUUCCGCCGUGGAGUUGUGUGCAAUGAAGAUAUUGCACAUAGUUCUUAGAUUUUUAUUGUUUAGGCAUUAUUGUAUAACAUGUUCCAUUGAUGUUUUUAGUUUGGACAUGUAUAUAUAUAUAUUGAUGCCAUUAGGCACUUAUGUUGGAUCAGUACCAAUUAUUAACACUUGUAUGAUAUUAUUCUAGAUAUAUAUUAUACGGGUUGUUACAAUGAAA
Molecule: long non-coding RNA, 477 nt
Organism: Lathyrus oleraceus (garden pea)
Lineage: Eukaryota; Viridiplantae; Streptophyta; Magnoliopsida; Fabales; Fabaceae
Exons: 2
Source: RefSeq, a predicted model, not a curated record